Molecule: microRNA precursor, 103 nt
Filed under: Marmota monax (woodchuck)
Lineage: Eukaryota; Metazoa; Chordata; Mammalia; Rodentia; Sciuridae
Source: RNAcentral
AGUGGAAUAACUGGAUCAAAUGGUUGUUCCAUUCCAUGUUUUCUAAGGAAUCUCCAUACUGCUUUCCAUAAAGGUUACACCAAUUUGCCAUCCCACCAGCAAU